This 31-nucleotide non-coding RNA is filed under the name Rattus norvegicus (Norway rat). The record is from RNAcentral. Lineage: Eukaryota; Metazoa; Chordata; Mammalia; Rodentia; Muridae.
UGUUGAUCUCAAACUCAUACCCCCCACCUGC